UCAUAUUUGCACAGCUCUGCCCUUUACCCAAUAAACUGGUUGACCUGACCUUGUUAUAUGUCUUUUCCCCAGCUCUUUAUGCCACCAGCUGACCUGAUCUGCUGACAAGCCUGCCUUCCCUUGGACUACCAGGAGGUUCAACACCCCUUCCGGAGCAUCUGGGAUGAACCAUUAGCAGAAUUUUAACAUGCAACUGUUUGGAACUCAGUUUGACAGAGGUAUUUCUGGCCUCCCACCAAUCUCGUAUCUUGGGAAAUCUAUGGACAGGUUCUGAAGACAGUCUUCAUCUUAAGCAAGCCUCCAGAAGUUUGGAAGAUCUUGUGUUUCAGCUGUGAUCUCUGAGAUGAGGUUAAGAUAGCUUCAUGCUACGAGUUGGCCUCCAUUUGAUGUGAACACUGAGAAGCUGCUGCAGGCUACCACUGAUUGGAAUUUACUUGUAUUAGUCUUAAUUGCAUGCUCUACCAUCAUCUGUUUGCAAUCACAAAGAGGAAGCUUCUGAAGCUUGGGAAUGAGAGAAAAUGAAGUGUCUUGACAACUACAAAACACUGAGGAUGCUUUUGGAGCUCUUCCCAUCACUGUUUCCAUCAGUUCCUCUCCUCUGAAGACAGAGUACCAUUAAGGAGCAGUUUGAGAUAACCAAUAUGAACCAGAAGAGCACAAAGACAUCCUGAUGGCUGCCAGAACACAAGCAGUAGCUCUUGGCCUAGAAGACAAACUGCCUUCCAGUCUUACUGUGGCUGAUAUAUCGUGCUUGGGAAGCAGAGACAUGAUGGCCUCCAAGGAUGGCAGCCAGCAGGAAACCCAAGGUUGGACCUGCAGUGAUGCAGCACACCAAAAGGGGCUGGAUUGCAACAUUACUGAAACGAGAAGCCUGAACACUACAGGAAUUUCUACACUAUGGAAAAAUGUUAUUUUUGGACUCUCCAGGAAGGCGUGCAUAUAAAACCACUGGU
This is a long non-coding RNA of Apus apus (common swift), 953 nucleotides long. RefSeq lists it as uncharacterized. The transcript has 5 exons. The record is from RefSeq and is a predicted model, not a curated record. Lineage: Eukaryota; Metazoa; Chordata; Aves; Apodiformes; Apodidae.